Molecule: long non-coding RNA, 752 nt
Filed under: Salmo salar (Atlantic salmon)
Lineage: Eukaryota; Metazoa; Chordata; Actinopteri; Salmoniformes; Salmonidae
Description: lncRNA (ENSSSAG00000109333.1)
Source: RNAcentral
CUGUAACAUGGAAAUAUGGCAUUGUGGAAACCGUAACCCUAUAAAAGAAACCCAAAACACUUGGAGGAGAGAAGUCCAGGCAGAAAUGUCUGCGAGCAGCUUUAACUGCAGAGAUGCGAGCCGGGAUGCCUGCCCUUGAAAAGACCCUGCUGACUGGCCUUCAGUUCUGACUGACAGACACCUGAAGAAUCCUGCUGGGGAGAAGUGGAAGCAAAUGGGUCUUCAUCCUCAGGCUCAGACAACAUUUGUGAAGACACCUGUGUGGCUGAGGAGGCUCCGAGAUCAUUUCUGAAGAGGCCUGUGUGGCUGAGGAGGCUCCGAGAUCAUUUCUGAAGAGGCCUGUGUGGCUGAAGAGGCUCCGAGAUCAUUUCUGAAGAGGCCUGUGUGGCUGAAGAGGUAAAUGGCUCAUCAUUCUAGCCAGUGCCAGAGGGUGUUCCAAAAUAUUUCAGAAGUGUCCCUGAAUUUGCAUUGAAAUACAGUAUAUGAGUUUGACACCCUAAAUAUAUUUGUUGUACAAAUAAAUACACAUGUCAUUAUGCACAAUUUAUUUAACUUUCAGAAUAGGAACCAAAUGAACCAUACAACCUCCUUGGCUAAUUCUAGGCAUCAGACACCCGAAAAGACUCAAUAUAUCACAAAAGAUACUAAAUAUCAGCAUAAUAUAGACGUCUUUUAAGUUAGCCGACAGCUUUGGAAAUUCCCCUUACUGAGCUCAGGACCUAGUCAACCUAGUCAAUACAAUCACCUUUAUG